ACAUCGCCUCUCGAACUUAUUAGAGGUCUAGCCUGCCCAGUGACUCUGUUCAACGGCCGCGGUAUCCUAACCGUGCAAAGGUAGCGUAAUCACUUGUCUUCUAAAUAAAGACUAGUAUGAAAGGCAUCACGAGGGCUUAACUGUCUCCUCUCUCUAAUCAGUGAACCUAAUCUCCCCGUGAAAAAGCGGGGAUUUUUAUAUAAGACAAGAAGACCCUAUGGAGCUUAAAACAUUUUUCACGUGCUUUUUCUCCCCCACCACCCAGGUCCCCUAACUUUACCCACACGAUGAUUAUGUGUUUUUGGUUGGGGUGACCGCGGAGAAAAUCCCAUCCUCCGUAGCGAAAGGAGAUGCUCCUUAACAACAAGCCACAACUUUAUGUAUUAACAUAUUAACACCAUUGACCCAAUAAAUUGAUUAGUGAACCAAGUUACCCUAGGGAUAACAGCGCAAUCCACUUCCAGAGCCCCUAUCGACAAGUGGGCUUACGACCUCGAUGUUGGAUCGGGGUAUCCUGGUGG
This 521-nucleotide ribosomal RNA is filed under the name Pristimantis albertus. RNAcentral's name for it is "partial 16S ribosomal RNA". It matches the Rfam family "Bacterial large subunit ribosomal RNA", at positions 1813 to 2553 of the family's 2925-position model. Lineage: Eukaryota; Metazoa; Chordata; Amphibia; Anura; Strabomantidae. The record is from RNAcentral.